ACUUAGCCUUGGAAUGACACGAUCACUCCCGUUGAGCCGAAACACACAGUGCCAUCGGGAAUAUCGUGUCGCUCCAAAGCUCUCU
This 85-nucleotide microRNA precursor is filed under the name Xenopus laevis (African clawed frog). RNAcentral describes it as "mir-425 microRNA precursor family". It matches the Rfam family "mir-425 microRNA precursor family". The record is from Rfam by way of RNAcentral. Lineage: Eukaryota; Metazoa; Chordata; Amphibia; Anura; Pipidae.